AUGCACCACAACUAUGGGCCUGAAACAAAAAGACUCCAAAAAUACAGAGAGCCAUUAAUCUGUAUCAGAUUCUUGCGUGCUCUCUCUCUCCCCAUCCAUCAUAUACAUGCAUGUUUUUUAAUACAUCCCCAAGCCCUUUUUUUCAUCUGCCUAUGCAGGUUUUGCAAAGCUGUGGCAGAAAGCCUCAGAAAAGCACUGGAAGGCUGGCUUCUGCUUCAAUCCAUCAUGAGAAGCCAUCAAGAAGAUGUUGCCUUUCUUGUACUGCCAUUAAAAAUGCAAUAUCUGGCUUUAAAAUAUACUGGUCUUUCUGCCUUUCUUUCCCAACCUGGUCUCCUCCCUGUCAGCACUCUCCUGCAAUCUUUUUUUUUUUUUUCUCUGUCUCUCUCUCUCUCUCUCUCACACACACACACACACACACACAAACUCUCACACUCACAUGCUCAAUUAAAAUUUCUGAGGAAGGCAGAAGUGCAAGGGAAGAAGUAGCAGUGGCGUAGAAAGAUGAGCUGACAGAUAAACCUAGAUUUAAGCUCUAACUCCGGGUGAGUUUGGCCAAGCAGCUCUCUUCUCUAGGUUCAGUGUCCAUACCUGGAAAAACAUGAGUGCUACUCCCUGAGUCCCUCACAGCUUUGACAAUAAAUAAUCUUUCUCUUGUGUUGUAGACAACUAAUAUCAUUCUUGAAAUGUCUGGCUAUGAGUUGUAGCCACAGAUCUACCUAUUAAGGUGCUCACAAAGGUCUCGCUCAUAGGAUUAGCGCCGAGGCAUUAGGGGCAUGUUCAUAUCAGCAGGAUAUUCUGAUUUUUUUCCAGACACGCUUGCAAUGGGAUGCAGCUCGAUGUAGGAGAAAUAACAUUGCUUUUGAGUCAAACAGACUUGAGUUUGAAUUUAGGAUGUCACUUCCCAGCUGUGUGACUGCAGGUGAAUCACUUAGCUUCUCUGAUCCCUAGUUUCUUCUACAGUAACAUAGGAAUAAUACCCGUAAUGGAAGGUUGUUAGAAGAGUAAAUGCAAUCAUAUGAAGGUAGAGAGCUUGGCAUGGUGCCUGGUACAUGGCACGGCAGGUACUCAAUACACAGUAGGGUGAUUUUUUUUGCUUCUAAAAAUGAAUACUGGAGACAUACAUGCAUACAUGCAGAAAAGGCACAUAGGACCUAGAGCAGUGAAAACAAUUUAACAUACUAUUUGAAUUGACUGUUGCUGCUCCAUAUGGAGAAUAUUCUAAGACACACACACACACACACACACACACACACACACACACACACACAGUUCAGCUUCUAAAGGCAGUAGCAACCAAUCCUAAUAUCCUUAAGGUAAUACACUUAAAAUGCUGAGUAGAGAUUUUGGCACAUAAGUUCUCAGUAAAUACUAGUUAUACUCAUUUUUAUUUAAAAUCUUUCAGUAUAGUAAAUUCCAGUUUAUUAUAUACCUCUUCCCCAUUCUCCUCUCUGAAGAGGCCUGGUUUUUUGCUUUUUUUUUUUUUGAGACAGACUCUCACUCUUGUCCCCAGGCUGGAGUACAGUGGCGCUAUCUCAGCUCACUGAAACCUCUGGAAGAGGCCUCUUUUUAAGAGGCAACAUGGGGCACAGAAAAUCUCUAUAAGUAGGAGCCACAAGCCAUCAGUCUGAUGCUGAGUUCUUAAUCACAAAAUCAUAGCACUUCAGAGCUUGGCUGGUAGAGAAACUGAAACAGAAACGGUUUACGUGAUUUGACCAAGGUCGUGGAGGAACCCCAGUUCUCACGGAGUACUCCUUAUGUUCUUUGCCCUCGUAAGUUCCAACUAAGUCUAUGAGAAUGAAAAUGCUUGACAAAGUCCCGGUGCUUUCCAAAUGCCAGAGGCCCCUCUCCUGCACCUGCCAGCUCCUACACCAGCCUUGGCAGAGGGCCACGGCCACUGGAGGUAUUUAAGGCUGUCUGCAGCAACCGCACCACUGUCAAAGUAGAGCACUGCUGCCCAAAGCUGGCCUUGGUUUCUGUCAAGGCAUGGAGCACAACACCUGGAAAGGGACUCCAUGGCCCCUCAUGCUGAGCAGGCUGUGCCAGCAUCAAGGCAGAGGGUAGCCCAGUUGGAGCUGCCCAGAGUUAAACACUAGUCUGCCAAACUCUGGCUCUGUGUGCUGGUAUGUGGCCAUGGGGAUGCACAAAAGCUAGAAAGGCCAAAAGAAGGAAAGAAAAACAUCUCUUUUUCUUUCUCUACAUUUAUUCAUUCACUCAUUGCUUAGUCAUUUCCUUAUUCAGUUUUUCUUUUUUACUAUCACGGAGAAAGGGCAUGGCUAAGAUUUCAUUAUUUAGUAAAAGAGACACAAAUAGAGAUACAAAUAGAGAUACAAACCAAUUAUAAUUCAAUAUGGCAAGUGCUCUAAUAGCAAAAUACUGUGGCAAAGGAGAGGGAAGCAUUCAAUUUUCUUGGUUUCCAAAUAUUAACGGAGUAGAGAUUGUGUAAUAAUCAAGGUUUAAUCAGAGAAAUAAAACUGAUAAAUAUAUGUAUAUUCAUAAAUAUAUACAUAUAUGCAUGCAUACAUUCAUGUAUAUAUAAUAUACAUAUAUACACAUAUAUAC
Molecule: long non-coding RNA, 2559 nt
Filed under: Macaca mulatta (Rhesus monkey)
Lineage: Eukaryota; Metazoa; Chordata; Mammalia; Primates; Cercopithecidae
Description: lncRNA (ENSMMUG00000050789.1)
Source: RNAcentral